CGGGAGGCAGCAGUGGGGAAUAUUGGACAAUGGGGGAAACCCUGAUCCAGCAAUGCCGCGUGAGUGAAGAAGGCCCUUGGGUUGUAAAGCUCUUUCACCUGUGACGAUAAUGACGGUAACAGGACAAGAAGCCCCGGCUAACUCCGUGCCAGCAGCCGCGGUAAGACGGAGGGGGCUAGCGUUAUUCGGAAUUACUGGGCGUAAAGGGUGUGUAGGCCGUUUUUUAAGCAAGAUGUGAAAGCCUCGAGCUCAACUUGAGAACUGCAUCUUGAACUGAAAAACUAGAGUGCGAAAGGGGAAAGAGGAAUUCCUAGUGUAGGGGUGAAAUCCAUAGAUAUUAGGAAGAACACCAAAGGCGAAGGCAACUUUCUGGUUCGCAACUGACGCUGAGACACGAAAGCGUGGGGAGCAAAUAGGAUUAGAUACCCUAGUAGUCCACGCUGUAAACGAUGAAUGCUAGACGUUGGGGGCUUGCCUCUCAGCGUCGCAGCUAACGCAUGAAGCAUUCCGCCUGGGGAGUACGGUCGCAAGAUUAAAACUCAAAGGAAUUGACG
RNAcentral lists this ribosomal RNA (554 nucleotides) under uncultured bacterium. RNAcentral's name for it is "bacterial SSU rRNA". It matches the Rfam family "Bacterial small subunit ribosomal RNA", at positions 342 to 915 of the family's 1533-position model. The record is from RNAcentral.